RNAcentral lists this ribosomal RNA (468 nucleotides) under uncultured bacterium. RNAcentral's name for it is "partial 16S ribosomal RNA". It matches the Rfam family "Bacterial small subunit ribosomal RNA", at positions 28 to 507 of the family's 1533-position model. The record is from RNAcentral.
GACGAACGCUGGCGGCGUGCUUAACACAUGCAAGUCGAGCGGACAGACCCUGCUUUUGUUGGUUUCUCGAGUGGCGAACGCGUGAGUGACACGUGUGUAUCCUCCCCUUGACUUUCUGAUAUCUUUACGAAACUCGGGCUCAUACCCGGUAUGAUCUCCUGCUCCAUGGUGGUGGUUGGAAAGUUUCGGCGGUUGUGGAUGGAUUCGAUGCUUAUGAGCUUGUUGGUGUGGUAGUGGCUGACCAAGGGUUUGACGGGUAGGCUGCAUGAGAGGGUUACCGGGCACAUGGGGACUGAGAGACGGAGCAGACGGGUACGGGAGGCAGUAGGGGGGAAUAUUGCACAAUGGGGGGAAGCGUGAUGCAGAAACGCCGCGAGCGGGAUGACGGGUUUCGGGUUGUAAACAGAUUUGGAAUGUGACGAAGCGUGAGUGACGGUAAUGGGUAAAGAAGCACCGGCUAACUACGUG